CACGUCACCAAACUAACGCCAUCAUGGAAAUAUCUUCUCCACGUGGCACAUCUCAAACACUCAACACCUCCACUUCAUCCACGUCAGCAAUCGCAGUUCAUAAACCGCACCAACUCAACAUCUCUCUUCCCAACAUCGCUUCUUUGCCGUACCUUCAGAUUGGUCAAGCUCCACACUUUUCUCUUUCUAUUUUUUUCCUUUGUUUUUCAAACUGUUUUCUUAAUUUCGUUUACCAAAAUUCAAUUAGCGAUGAUUAAUACGAUCUAGUACCAGUAAAUGUUUUUAUGAUGACUUAAUAAUGGCGAUUAGUGAUUCCUCUGAGCUGCGUGAACGAUUUUGCAGAAAGAAAGCGAUGCCACUUUUCUGGUUCUUGUUCAUGUUCAAGGAAAGAUCUCUCGCGCGUUCAUGGUUUCGUCUCUAACGGAUCUUCUUCUUGUGCAUAACCGUUUUGGAUUUUCAUGCAUAUCCAGUGACCUGCAGUUGUAUUUUGGGGUUCUUUGAAGAUUGUAGCAUGUGCUGUUUUACUUUGGAUGAGGACGGACUAUAAUUAUCGUGAGCUUGGGUAUUUUGAAUGACAAGGGGUAACGAGAUAUGUGUUGAUGGCGACAGUAAAGAACUUACUCAGUGUUUGCGGGAUGGGAAGAACAGCUUAAAAAAAGGAGUUGCUGGUGAGGGUAAUGAAGUGGAAUGUAAUGGAGUAGCUGAAGAAGUUAAGGUUGGAGAGGGAGGGAAUGGAGAAUCCUCUUCUGUCCAGCAGCAAGUACCGCAGUAUCAGUCUCAAGGCGCAAUUAUUUGUUGGGAGAGGUUUUUGCAUAUUAGAUCCCUUAAAGUCUUGCUUGUGGAGUAUGAUGAUUGUACUCGCCAUAUUGUCACUGCAUUGCUCCGCAAUUGCAGUUAUGAAGUUAUUGAAGCAGCAAAUGGAUUGCAAGCUUGGAAGAUUUUGGAGGAUUUAACUAAUCAUAUUGAUAUUAUUUUAACUGAGGUGGCAAUGCCUGGCUUAUCAGGCAUUGCUCUUCUAUACAAGAUUAUGGGCCACACAACUCGGAAAAAUGUUCCAGUGAUUAUGAUGUCAUCUCUUGACUCUAUGGGUUUAGUCUUUAAGUGUUUGUCAAAGGGUGCUGUCGAUUUUCUAGUUAAACCCAUACGGAAGAAUGAGCUUAAAAACCUGUGGCAGCAUGUUUGGAGGAGAUGUCAUAGUUCUAGUGGGAGUGGCAGUGAAAGUGGCACACAAACUCAGAAAUCUGUGAAAUCAAAGAGUCUUGAGAAGUUUGACAACAAUUCGGGAAGCAAUGACGAGCAAGAUAAUGAAAUUUUAGGCUUAAAUAAUGGGGAUGGAAGUGACAAUGGUAGUGGCACUCAGAGUUCCUGGACCAAACGAGCUGUAGAAGUUGACAGUCCUAAAUCAGACUCUCAGUGGGAACAGAUAGCUGAGUGUCCUGACAGCACUUGUGCUCAAGUUGUUCAUUCCAAUGCUGAAAUAUGCAGGGGCAAGAUGGUUCCUCCAGUCAUAAAGGAGUGUCCAGAGCAAAAGGAACAAAUAGUUGCAGGUUCAAAACAUAUCAACACACUUGAUGUAGGCCUCUCUAAAUUCAAUGAGCAAAUUAUUAGAGGACAUCAGGAGCUUAAUUGUGAGAAUCAAUCUGGCAAGCUAAGAUGCAAAGGGCUUUCAUUAUCUGAUGGUGUUACUAGCACUUCUGAUUCUCGAAUGCGAAGUGGAGAAAUUGAAGCUCUAAAUAGAAUACCCAAGUCCUCAGAUAUUUACAACAAAGGUACUAAUAAUGACGAGGAGUUGCCAUCUCUUGAGCUCAGUUUAAAGAGGCCUAGAGAAGUUAAAGAAGUUGGUACUACAAGUCAGGAUGAAAGGAAUGUUUUAAGACAUUCUGAUCUGUCUGCUUUCUCAAAGUACAAUGCAGCCCUUAAUGCUAAGAAGUCUCCUACGAGAUGUGUUGGAAGUAACUCUCCACAUAAUAACAGCUUAGAAGUUACAAAGAAAGAUUCCUCUCUUGAUGUUCAAUCUCAUUCUAGUGGCAAUCCUCCUAACCAGAACUCAAAUGGUGGUAGCAAUAACAUUGAUAUGGGUUCCACUACUAAUAAUGCAUUUACCAAGUCUGCAGUUAUAAGUGAGCCAGCGGUGGCAUCAACAACCAAAUUUGCGUACAAAACAUCUGCUUUCCAGCCCAUAAAGAGCAGCCUCAUGUGUACCUCUCAACAGGUGGUCUUGCAUAAUAAUGAAGAUACGACAGCAGCAAUGCUGGCACCACCUAAAAUUGACACUGAUAAGGUUUCUGUUACUCAGGAUUUUCAUCACCAUUAUGUAAACCACAACAAUGUUGCAAACAUGCAGCAUCAGUUGCCACCUGAGAAUGAUGCUGAGUCAUUUAAGAAAAUGACGGCUGUUUCUCCAUACUGCGGUGGGUCAUCAAAUGUGGUUGAAGUGCUAGUUGAAGGUAAUAUGGGAAAUUACAGUAUCAAUAGAAGUGCUUCAGGCAGCAACAUUGAAAGUAAUGGACAAAAUGGGAGCAGCACUGCAAUUAAUACUGGAGGGACAAACUUAGAAAGCAACAAUGGACUAGCUGGGAAUAGUGGUAGUGGUGAUGCUAGUGCGAAUGGAAGUGCCAUCAGAAUAGAUCAAAACAAGAAUUCUCGAAGGGAAGCAGCACUAACAAAAUUUCGUCAAAAAAGAAAGGAGAGAAAAGAGAAGUGCUUUCAUAAACAGGUUCGAUAUGAGAGCAGGAAGAAAUUAGCUGAACAACGACUACGAUAUCGUGGACAAUUUGUGCGAAAGUCUUCAAACAAUGAUGCCGGUGAGGCAACAGAUAGUUGAUUGACUGAGCAUUUGACACAAUGGCGUAAUGAUGGGAUAUGUGGACCGGAAAAGAUCCAGAAGUCUUCAUGUGAUAUUUUGGAAUUGUUCUGUCUCUUCGUGUAUUGUGCUAACAUGGCUAAAAUGAUCAAGAAAUUUCAUCACCUAAAACAAGGGGUGUUCAAGACCUACCUGUUGCCGUGACUUAACCCAGUUCAAGCUUUAUUUAGGGAGUAGAAUUUGACCCGUACUGCAACUAAAUAGAGACGGAUUAAGAUCACAUUUUCUAACUUGGGAUUAUUAUAUUUGGGAUAAGUUAUCUGGUCCCUUUUCUA
This is an RNA transcript of Vicia villosa (hairy vetch), 3138 nucleotides long. It is a transcript of the gene named two-component response regulator-like APRR7, with no coding region annotated. The transcript has 11 exons. The record is from RefSeq and is a predicted model, not a curated record. NCBI's taxonomy places the organism in Eukaryota, Viridiplantae, Streptophyta, Magnoliopsida, Fabales, Fabaceae.